RNAcentral lists this ribosomal RNA (680 nucleotides) under Escherichia coli. RNAcentral's name for it is "partial 23S ribosomal RNA". It matches the Rfam family "Bacterial large subunit ribosomal RNA", at positions 2119 to 2798 of the family's 2925-position model. The record is from RNAcentral. Lineage: Bacteria; Pseudomonadati; Pseudomonadota; Gammaproteobacteria; Enterobacterales; Enterobacteriaceae.
GAACAUUGAGCCUUGAUGUGUAGGAUAGGUGGGAGGCUUUGAAGUGUGGACGCCAGUCUGCAUGGAGCCGACCUUGAAAUACCACCCUUUAAUGUUUGAUGUUCUAACGUUGACCCGUGAUCCGGGUUGCGGACAGUGUCUGGUGGGUAGUUUGACUGGGGCGGUCUCCUCCUAAAGAGUAACGGAGGAGCACGAAGGUUGGCUAAUCCUGGUCGGACAUCAGGAGGUUAGUGCAAUGGCAUAAGCCAGCUUGACUGCGAGCGUGACGGCGCGAGCAGGUGCGAAAGCAGGUCAUAGUGAUCCGGUGGUUCUGAAUGGAAGGGCCAUCGCUCAACGGAUAAAAGGUACUCCGGGGAUAACAGGCUGAUACCGCCCAAGAGUUCAUAUCGACGGCGGUGUUUGGCACCUCGAUGUCGGCUCAUCACAUCCUGGGGCUGAAGUAGGUCCCAAGGGUAUGGCUGUUCGCCAUUUAAAGUGGUACGCGAGCUGGGUUUAGAACGUCGUGAGACAGUUCGGUCCCUAUCUGCCGUGGGCGCUGGAGAACUGAGGGGGGCUGCUCCUAGUACGAGAGGACCGGAGUGGACGCAUCACUGGUGUUCGGGUUGUCAUGCCAAUGGCACUGCCCGGUAGCUAAAUGCGGAAGAGAUAAGUGCUGAAAGCAUCUAAGCACGAAACUUGCC